AGACGUACAUACUCUGUUCCUGCUCCUUUGUCUCUUGUCUAUAUAGACACGAAUCAUAAGUUGAUAAGGUACAACAUAGUGAUUUUUGGGGCUGUUGAUGGCUUUUCAAGGAAGAUCUUUUACCUGGAUGUUGCUGGGAAUAACAAAGCCAAAACAGCUUUUGGGUUUUUCAUGGAUGGAGUAGAAAAAAAUGGAUGGCCAUCAAGGUAUGCACAUUAUACAGAUUGAUUUCUCACAAAUUCUUUACAAAAAUGGUCCCACUGAUAAUUAGGGAUCUUAUGACUACAGUUUUAAACAUUUCAUAAGGUAUCCAGAAAAAGAGCCACAUUAUGUUACAAACCUUUUCUUUCAAAGGAACAUGGUUAAUAAAAGAUCUGUAUAAGA
Cyprinus carpio (common carp) is the source of this 384-nucleotide long non-coding RNA. RefSeq lists it as uncharacterized. The transcript is spliced from 3 exons. Lineage: Eukaryota; Metazoa; Chordata; Actinopteri; Cypriniformes; Cyprinidae. The record is from RefSeq and is a predicted model, not a curated record.